UACGAAGGGGGCUAGCGUUGCUCGGAAUCACUGGGCGUAAAGCGCACGUAGGCGGGUUCUUAAGUCGGUGGUGAAAUCCUGGAGCUCAACUCCAGAACUGCCUCCGAUACUGAGAGUCUCGAGUCCGGGAGAGGUGAGUGGAACUGCGAGUGUAGAGGUGAAAUUCGUAGAUAUUCGCAAGAACACCAGUGGCGAAGGCGGCUCACUGGCCCGGUACUGACGCUGAGGUGCGAAAGCGUGGGGAGCAAACAGG
RNAcentral lists this ribosomal RNA (253 nucleotides) under uncultured bacterium. Its description in RNAcentral is "partial 16S ribosomal RNA". It matches the Rfam family "Bacterial small subunit ribosomal RNA", at positions 524 to 776 of the family's 1533-position model. The record is from RNAcentral.